CCCCUAGGCAAGCAUGCACGUACAAAAUCGUAAGAUAAAAAAAUAAGCAUAUCACUGUAAACUUUAAAAAAUCAGUUUAGUGAUAUGCUUAUUUAUUUCGAGUUAGGAUUUAUGUCCCAAGCUCAUCAAGCACAAUCGGCCACUAGUUUAUUUCUCUAUCUUAUAUGUUCUGAUAUGGUCUUCUAUACUGUAUAAGUAUACUUUUGAAUAUGGAUCUUGUGUCAAUUCACGUUCGAAAUCAAAUUCUUG
RNAcentral lists this small RNA (249 nucleotides) under Staphylococcus aureus. RNAcentral's name for it is "HMPRFS0000_0050". Lineage: Bacteria; Bacillati; Bacillota; Bacilli; Caryophanales; Staphylococcaceae. The record is from RNAcentral.